UACGGGGGGGGCAAGCGUUGUUCGGAAUUACUGGGCGUAAAGGGCUCGUAGGCGGCCAACUAAGUCAGACGUGAAAUCCCUCGGCUUAACCGGGGAACUGCGUCUGAUACUGGGUGGCUUGAAUCCGGGAGAGGGAUGCGGGAUUCCAGGUGUAGCGGUGAAAUGCGUAGAUAUCUGGAGGAACACCGGUGGCGAAGGCGGCAUCCUGGACCGGUAUUGACGCUGAGGAGCGAAAGCCAGGGGAGCAAACGGG
Molecule: ribosomal RNA, 253 nt
Filed under: uncultured bacterium
Lineage: Bacteria
Description: partial 16S ribosomal RNA
Rfam family: Bacterial small subunit ribosomal RNA
Source: RNAcentral